Molecule: signal recognition particle RNA, 300 nt
Filed under: Cebus imitator (Panamanian white-faced capuchin)
Lineage: Eukaryota; Metazoa; Chordata; Mammalia; Primates; Cebidae
Description: Metazoan signal recognition particle RNA (ENSCCAG00000004682.1)
Rfam family: Metazoan signal recognition particle RNA
About the family: The signal recognition particle (SRP) is a universally conserved ribonucleoprotein. It is involved in the co-translational targeting of proteins to membranes. The eukaryotic SRP consists of a 300-nucleotide 7S RNA and six proteins: SRPs 72, 68, 54, 19, 14, and 9.
Source: RNAcentral
GCUGGGUGUGGUGGCGUGUGCCUGUAGUCCCAGCUACUCCGGAGGCUGAGGUAGGAGGAUCACUUGAGCCCAGGCGUUCUGGGCUGUAGUGCGCUAUGCUGAUCAGGUGUCCACAUUAAGUUUGGCAUCAAUAUGGUGACCUCCCGGGAGCAAGGGACCAUCAGGUUGCCUGAGGAGGGGUGAACCAGCCCAGGUCGGAAACGGAGCAGGCCAAAACUCACGUGCUAAUCAGUAGUGGGUUCACGCCUGUGAAUAGCCACGGCACUCCAGCCGGGGCAACAUAGUGAGACCCCCAUCUCU